GACGAACGCUGGCGGCGUGCUUAACACAUGCAAGUCGAGCGGUAAGGCCCUUUCGGGGGUACACGAGCGGCGAACGGGUGAGUAACACGUGGGUGACCUGCCCUCAGCUCUGGGAUAAGCCUGGGAAACCGGGUCUAAUACUGGAUAUGACUCCAUGACGCAUGUUGUGGGGUGGAAAGCCUUGUGCGGCUGAGGAUGGGCCCGCGGCCUAUCAGCUUGUUGGUGGGGUGANGGCCUACCAAGGCGACGACGGGUAGCCGGCCUGAGAGGCGACCGGCCACACUGGGACUGAGACACGGCCCAGACUCCUACGGGAGGCAGCAGUGGGGAAUAUUGGACAAUGGGCGCAAGCCUGAUCCAGCGAUGCCGCGUGUGUGAAGAAGGCCUGCGGGUU
This 394-nucleotide ribosomal RNA is filed under the name uncultured bacterium. RNAcentral describes it as "bacterial SSU rRNA". It matches the Rfam family "Bacterial small subunit ribosomal RNA", at positions 28 to 424 of the family's 1533-position model. The record is from RNAcentral.